Molecule: ribosomal RNA, 435 nt
Filed under: uncultured bacterium
Lineage: Bacteria
Description: partial 16S ribosomal RNA
Rfam family: Bacterial small subunit ribosomal RNA
Source: RNAcentral
AAUGAACGCUGGCGGCAUGCCUAACACAUGCAAGUCGAACGGGAACCUUCGGGAGCGAGUUGAGCACGGGUGCGUGACGGGGUGGAAUCUGCGCACGGGUUCGGACUUAGGCAGCGAAAGCUGGUCUGAUAACGGAAGAUGGCAAAAGACCAAAGAUUUAUCGCGCGAGGAUGAGAGCGCGUUGGCGUAGCUAGUUGGCAGGGUAAGGGCAUACAGAGGCGACGAUCCCUAGCUGGUCUGUGAGGAUUAUCAGCCACUCUGGGACUGAGACACGGCCCAGACUCCUACGCGAGGCAGCAGUGCCUGAUAUAGGACUGUCGGCGGCAGCAUGAUCCCGCUCUGCGGCGUGAGUGAUGAAGGCCUUAGCGUUGUAAAGCUCUUUCACCCGGGAUGAUAAUGACGGUACCGUGAGAAUAAGCUCCGGCUAACUCCGUG